Molecule: non-coding RNA, 544 nt
Organism: Cyanistes caeruleus (blue tit)
Lineage: Eukaryota; Metazoa; Chordata; Aves; Passeriformes; Paridae
Source: RefSeq, a predicted model, not a curated record
AAGUAUGGGCCCCAGCAUGACUAGAGGUGCUUUAUUUGUGCAGAACUCAGAAAUGGAAUUUCUGAUGGAGACAGUAGUGAACAGAGAACAGCUUAUUGAAUUUGUGUGCAUGCAGCACAGAGCUGAAGGAGACUGCCAGAGAAGGGAGGUUCUGAAUUUAUUGUGAUCCUAGCAACUUGGAAGAAAAGUGCAAGAUAAACAGUGUGUAAUUGAAUAAGGUAUUUGUGAGGUGUAUUUAUGGAGGAAAGACUGUGAUUCUGCUCCUCUGUCUGAACUGAAUUUAGGACUGUCCUGCUGCAACAGCGUACAGAUAACAUUUCUCCAGGUGGGAUUAUAUGCCCUAUAUUUAAAGCAAAAUAUCUGCUUAGCUGUGUGUGGUCAGGCAGGACCUGAUGUUUGCUUGCUCAAACACUGCAUGUCACUGCCUCAGUGAUCAUCUGCAUUAUCUGGGAAAUAAGUCUUCUGCUCACAGGUCAUAAUCCAGAAAAGUGUUUGACAACAAAGAUUUGAAUCUCUUAAAAUGAUAUAAAACCCUUCAAAAGUA